CCUACGGGAGGCAGCAGUGGGGAAUAUUGGGCAAUGGAGGAAACUCUGACCCAGCGACGCCGCGUGAGGGAUGAAGGCCUUCGGGUUGUAAACCUCUUUCAGUAGGGAAGAAGCGAAAGUGACGGUACCUACAGAAGAAGCACCGGCUAACUAUGUGCCAGCAGCCGCGGUAAUACAUAGGGUGCAAGCGUUGUCCGGAAUUAUUGGGCGUAAAGAGCUCGUAGGUGGUUCGAUACGUCGGAUGUGAAAAUCAGGGGCUCAACCCCUGACCUGCAUCCGAUACGGUCGAGCUAGAGUUUGGUAGGGGAGACUGGAAUUCCUGGUGUAGCGGUGGAAUGCGCAGAUAUCAGGAGGAGCACCGAUGGCGAAGGCAGGUCUCUGGGCCAAUACUGACACUGAGGAGCGAAAGCGUGGGGAGCGAACAGAAUUAGAUACCCUGGUAGUCCACGCCGUAAACGGUGGGCGCUAGUUGUGCGAACCUUCCACGGUUUGUGCGACGCNGCUACGACAUAGCGCCCGCCGUCGGGAGGUACGAGUCGCGAGAAGUUAAACGUUAAAGGUAAAGUUAGUUACGGCGUGUUAGACGUGCCGACGGACGACGACGAGGGGAGGUUAGG
Molecule: ribosomal RNA, 617 nt
Filed under: uncultured bacterium
Lineage: Bacteria
Description: bacterial SSU rRNA
Rfam family: Bacterial small subunit ribosomal RNA (bases 1-521)
Source: RNAcentral